RNAcentral lists this ribosomal RNA (513 nucleotides) under uncultured bacterium. Its description in RNAcentral is "bacterial SSU rRNA". It matches the Rfam family "Bacterial small subunit ribosomal RNA", at positions 8 to 518 of the family's 1533-position model. The record is from RNAcentral.
AGGGUUCGAUUCUGGCUCAGGAUGAACGCUGGCGGCGUGCCUAACACAUGCAAGUCGAACGGAAAUUAAGCGCUUCGGAGACUUCGGUCAAUGUUUGCUUGGUUUAGUGGCGGACGGGUGAGUAACGCGUGGAUAACCUGCCUCAUACAGGGGGAUAACAGUUAGAAAUGACUGCUAAUACCGCAUAAGCGCACGGGAUCGCAUGUUCCCGUGUGAAAAAACUCCGGUGGUAUGAGAUGGAUCCGCGUCUGAUUAGCUGGUUGGCGGGGUAACAGCCCACCAAGGCGACGAUCAGUAGCCGGCCUGAGAGGGUGAACGGCCACAUUGGGACUGAGACACGGCCCAAACUCCUACGGGAGGCAGCAGUGGGGGAUAUUGCACAAUGGGGGAAACCCUGAUGCCAGCGACGCCGCGUGAGUGAAGAAGUAUUUCGGUAUGUAAAGCUCUAUCAGCAGGGAAGAUAAUGACGGUACCUGACUAAGAAGCACCGGCUAAAUACGUGCCAGCCGCGGC